This 114-nucleotide non-coding RNA is filed under the name Haemophilus influenzae R3021. Lineage: Bacteria; Pseudomonadati; Pseudomonadota; Gammaproteobacteria; Pasteurellales; Pasteurellaceae. The record is from RNAcentral.
GGAAACCUUCUCAGUCUCUCGCAACGGUGUUUGGUUUACUCGGUCAGGUCCGGAAGGAAGCAGCCAAAGUCGGAAUUACUGUGUGCCGAGAAGAAGCUGGGAAGGUUUCCGCCC